RNAcentral lists this unclassified non-coding RNA (336 nucleotides) under soil metagenome. RNAcentral's name for it is "partial contains 5.8S ribosomal RNA, internal transcribed spacer 2, and large subunit ribosomal RNA". The stretch from base 1 to 120 matches the Rfam family "5.8S ribosomal RNA", at positions 35 to 154 of the family's 154-position model. The record is from RNAcentral.
GAUGAAGAACGUAGCGAAAUGCGAUAAGUAAUGUGAAUUGCAGAAUUCAGUGAAUCAUCGAAUCUUUGAACGCACAUUGCGCCCGCCAGUAUUCUGGCGGGCAUGCCUGUUCGAGCGUCAUUUCAACCAUCAAGCCCCAGGCUUGUGUUGGGGACCUGCGGCUGCCGCAGGCCCUGAAAACCAGUGGCGGGCUCGCUGUCACACCGGGCGUAGUAGAUUUUAUCUCGCUCUGGGGGUGGUGCGGGGUGCGGCCGUUAAAAAACCCUUUUAACCCAAGGUUGACCUCGGAUCAGGUAGGAAUACCCGCUGAACUUAAGCAUAUCAAUAAGCGGAGGA